This 2028-nucleotide long non-coding RNA is filed under the name Homo sapiens (human). RNAcentral's name for it is "HSALNT0203592". The record is from RNAcentral. Lineage: Eukaryota; Metazoa; Chordata; Mammalia; Primates; Hominidae.
GCUGAUUUUUUAUUUUUAUUUUUUGUAGAGAUGGGGUCUCACUACGUUGCCCAGACUGGUCUUGGACUCCUGGGCUCAAGCCAUCAGCCCACCUUGGCCUCCCAAUGUGCUGGGAUUACAGGCAUGAGCCAUAGCGCCAGGUCUCUGUGCUCCUUUGCUAUGGCAGCCCUAGGAAAUGAAUGCAAGUAUCAUGUCCCAGUGAGGCGCUUUGAGUCAGAAUAGGAAAAUGGGAAAUUGUCAGCGUGAAUCCUGAAAUGCAAACUAAUGAGAAUUUUAUUUUUAUUUUUAUUUUUUUUUUAAUUUUCUCUGAGUUUGCAGGAUGGAUCUGCCUAACACACUUGUAAAAACCUUCUGAAUGGGGAGGAAGAUCACUGAUCCCUGUUCUGGCUCGUCACUCUCCCAGGGGACCAUUUCUGCAUAUGAUGUUAUUAGGUAGAGCAUGGGCGUACUUGCAGAGGGUGGGGGUGGGGAAUUGUCGCAGAAGUCUUGGCCACAUAGGUGUAGUUGGGAGUGAUAACAAUGCAUUGUGCAGUGGAUUGAUUGACUAAAGAAAGAAGGCUUACUGGCUAUUGAUCUCUGUAAUCUGAAGAGAUUGUCUCACUUUUGGCAGGGAUGAGUGGUGUAUAUAUCAGAAAGAGAGCCAAAUGGUCUCUUCCACUAAGAUGCAUGUUUUUUUUUUUUUUUUUUUUUUUUUUUUUCUGGGACUUUAGAACCAGUUGCCAUGCUUAUCAUGCCACCUUUUGAUGAAGUGCUGUUGCAGCUCAGGGUUUCUGGAAACAGCCACUGAGAUGUGCAAGAUGUUUAUCGGGAAUUCACACUUGAGAAAGAAUAGUGGAAAAAACCAGAAAUGGGCAGAGGAAGAGAUCAAACUACAGUUAUGCCCUGCAUAAUGACAUUUUGGUUAACAUUGGACUGCAUAUGCAAUGGUGGUCCCGUAAGGUUAUAAUGAAGCUAAAAGAGUCCUAUUACCUAGUGACGCUGUAGCCAUUCCAAUGUCGUAGAGUAACGCAUUACUCAUGUGUUUGUGCUGAUGCUGAUAUAAACAAACCUACUGCUCUGCCAGGCACGUAAAAGUAUAGCACACAAAAUUAUGUACAGUACAUAAUACUUGAUAAUUAUAGAUAAAUGACUAUGUUACUGGUUUAUAUAUUUACUAUAUUAUGUUUUUUAUUAUUAUUUUAGAAUGUACUCCUUCUACUUUUUUAAAAAAAAAAGUUAACUAUAAAACAGCCUCUGACUGGUCUUUCAGGAGGUAUUCCAGAAGAAGGCUUUGCCAUUAUAGGAGAUGACAGCUCCACUGGUGUUAUUGUCCUGAAGAUCUUCCAGUGGGACAAGAUAUGGAGGUGGAAGACAGUGAUAUUGACGAUCCUGGCCCUAUGUAGGCCUAGGCUAAUGUGUGUGUUUGUGUCUUAUUUUUUAAUUUUUGAGACAGAGUCUUACUCUAUUGCCCAGGCUGAAGUGCAGUGGUGCGAUCUCAGCUCACUGCAACCUCUGCCUCCAGGGUUCAAGUGAUUCUCGUGCCUUAGCCUCCCAAGUAGCUAGGAUUACAGGUGUGCACCACCAUGCCCAACUAAUUUUUUGUAUUUUUAGUAGAGAUGGGGUUUCCCUAUGUUGGCCAGGCUGGUCUUGAACUCCUGGCCUCAAGUGAUCUACCUGCCUCAGCCUCCCAAAGUGCUGGGAUUACAGGCAUGAGCCACUACGCAUGACCAGUGUCUUAGUUUUUAACAAAAAAUUUAAAAAGUAAAAAGAAAAAAGUUUUAAAUAGAAAAAAGGUUAUAGAAUAAAGCUAUAAAGAAAAAAAUAGUUUUUAUAGCUAUGCAAUGUGUUUGUGUUUUAAGCUAAGUGUUAUUAAAAAGAGUCAGAAAGUUAAAAAGUUUAUAAAGUGAAAAAGUUAUGGUAAGCUUAGGUUAAUUUAUUAUUGAAGAAAGAAAAUAUUUUUAAAUAAAUUUAGUGUAGGCUGGGCAUGGUGGCUGAUGCCUGUAAUCCCAGCACUUUGGGAGGCCAAGGGAGGGGGUGGAUCAUGAGGUC